Molecule: ribosomal RNA, 564 nt
Filed under: Leucosporidium scottii
Lineage: Eukaryota; Fungi; Basidiomycota; Microbotryomycetes; Leucosporidiales; Leucosporidiaceae
Description: eukaryotic LSU rRNA
Rfam family: Eukaryotic large subunit ribosomal RNA
Source: RNAcentral
GCGAGUGAAGCGGGAAGAGCUCAAAUUUGUAAUCUGGCACUUUCAGUGUCCGAGUUGUAAUCUCGAGAAGUAUUUUCCGCGCCGGACCGCAUACAAGUCUGUUGGAAUACAGCGUCAUAGUGGUGAGAACCCCGUAACUGAUGCGGAUGCCCGGUGCUUUGUGAUAUACUUUCGAAGAGUCGAGUUGUUUGGGAAUGCAGCUCAAAUUGGGUGGUAAAUUCCAUCUAAAGCUAAAUAUUGGAGCAAGACCGAUAGCGAACAAGUACCGUGAGGGAAAGAUGAAAAGCACUUUGGAAAGAGAGUUAACAGUACGUGAAAUUGUUGGAAGGGAAACGCUUGAAGUCAGACUUGCUAUUCGGAGUUCAGCCGCAAGGUGUAUUCUUCGAUUUGCAGGCCAGCAUCAGUUUUUGGGGGUGGAAAAUCGUGGUUUGAAGGUAGCAGUUUCGGCUGUGUUAUAGCUUUCCACUGGAUUCAUCUUCGGGGACUGAGGAACGCAGUACGCUUUUUGCAAGGCUCUCGAGCUUUUCGUACUUAGGAUGCUGGUGGAAUGGCUUUAAACGACCC